This 346-nucleotide unclassified non-coding RNA is filed under the name soil metagenome. RNAcentral's name for it is "partial contains 5.8S ribosomal RNA, internal transcribed spacer 2, and large subunit ribosomal RNA". The stretch from base 1 to 120 matches the Rfam family "5.8S ribosomal RNA", at positions 35 to 154 of the family's 154-position model. The record is from RNAcentral.
GAUGAAGAACGUAGCGAAAUGCGAUAAGUAAUGUGAAUUGCAGAAUUCAGUGAAUCAUCGAAUCUUUGAACGCACAUUGCGCCCCCUGGUAUUCCGGGGGGCAUGCCUGUCCGAGCGUCAUUGCUGCCCUCAAGCACGGCUUGUGUGUUGGGCCCCGUCCUCCGAUUCCGGGGGACGGGCCCGAAAGGCAGCGGCGGCACCGCGUCCGGUCCUCGAGCGUAUGGGGCUUUGUCACCCGCUCUGUAGGCCCGGCCGGCGCUUGCCGAUCAACCCAAAUUUUUAUCCAGGUUGACCUCGGAUCAGGUAGGGAUACCCGCUGAACUUAAGCAUAUCAAUAAGCGGAGGA